GUAUAUUUGAUCCACCACAUCGCAGAUGAUAUUUAUUACUGCUAGUGUAAUGUGUUGCCAAGAGAGGGCGGCAGUAGUACCAGGAGCCUGGUUACCAGGUAACACAUCAACCACACCAAAAAAAAACCAUGUCGAUGUUCAAAGCCAAAGUUUUACUUCUCGGGCCGAUGGAAAGUGGCAAAACAGUCCUGGCUAAUUUCCUGUGUAAAGCCACUGAAGUUACAAAUAUUUCUCCUACUGUUGGGGUCAGAAUAAUGGAGUUUGAGCAGCCAAUGAUUCUGGAUGGUCGUAAUACUGUUGCUGAUAUUGAAUUGUGGGACUGUAGUGGUGAUCAUAGAUAUGAAUCCUGUUGGGCAGCAUUUAGUAAAGAUGCCAAUGGUAUUAUCUUUGUUUAUAACCCAGACCGUGCCAACCACAACAAAGAACUUGAAGAGCUACUUGCUUAUUUCCUACCUCAGACAGGCCUUACCACCAACCACUGCUUCUGUGUGAGCAAUGUUAGAGCCGAGGCUUACAAUGCUCCUGUUCGCAGUGAACUCCAUACAGCUAUUUUGUGCGAUCAUGCAAAAUAAGCCCCAAACGAUGUAUCUUAAUCAUCUUGCAAUAUCCAUGUAAUGCUUUGACCUAUGAUCUCCCUCCAUCAUUUCAGAACAUACAAUGCAUUGAAGCAAAUCUGGAGUCCAGUUCAGAAGAUCUGAGAGAGCAGCUUGAAACGUUUCUUGUGACAGUGUUGGUAGCCAUGACUGACAAACGUGACCAAGAGGAACUCAGCA
This 773-nucleotide unclassified non-coding RNA is filed under the name Octopus sinensis (East Asian common octopus). Its description in RNAcentral is "intraflagellar transport protein 22 homolog, transcript variant X3". The record is from RNAcentral. Lineage: Eukaryota; Metazoa; Mollusca; Cephalopoda; Octopoda; Octopodidae.